This 529-nucleotide ribosomal RNA is filed under the name uncultured bacterium. RNAcentral describes it as "bacterial SSU rRNA". It matches the Rfam family "Bacterial small subunit ribosomal RNA", at positions 981 to 1509 of the family's 1533-position model. The record is from RNAcentral.
UUGACAUCCAGCGAACUUUCCAGAGAUGGAUUGGUGCCUUCGGGGAACGCUGAGACAGGUGCUGCAUGGCUGUCGUCAGCUCGUGUUGUGAAAUGUUGGGUUAAGUCCCGNAACGAGCGCAACCCUUAUCCUUUGUUGCCAGCGAUUCGGUCGGGAACUCAAAGGAGACUGCCGGUGAUAAACCGGAGGAAGGUGGGGAUGACGUCAAGUCAUCAUGGCCCUUACGAGUAGGGCUACACACGUGCUACAAUGGCGCAUACAAAGAGAAGCGACCUCGCGAGAGCAAGCGGACCUCAUAAAGUGCGUCGUAGUCCGGAUCGGAGUCUGCAACUCGACUCCGUGAAGUCGGAAUCGCUAGUAAUCGUGGAUCAGAAUGCCACGGUGAAUACGUUCCCGGGCCUUGUACACACCGCCCGUCACACCAUGGGAGUGGGUUGCAAAAGAAGUAGGUAGCUUAACCUUCGGGAGGGCGCUUACCACUUUGUGAUUCAUGACUGGGGUGAAGUCGUAACAAGGUAAGCGUAGCGAG